CGCGCGUCUUGCAAGGUCUUGCAUUCAUUCAGCAGCCUACCUUCAUCCGUGAUCAGUUUAAAGCUCUGUGACUUCCUUCUCCUCUUCCUUUCCCCAAACUCCAUCUUCGGGGAAGGGGGUGAUUAUAGUCUACAGCUGCGCUACACAUUCAGUCAUCGGAACCUUUUCCUCCGUGCUGAGCCCACAUUCACUUGGUAAACGCUGUGUAUGAUCCAUUCCCGCUGCCAGCAUGAUGCUGGUUCUUCCCUCCCGCCAUGUAAAUAAAUUAAUGACUU
Acanthopagrus latus (yellowfin seabream) is the source of this 275-nucleotide long non-coding RNA. RefSeq lists it as uncharacterized. Lineage: Eukaryota; Metazoa; Chordata; Actinopteri; Spariformes; Sparidae. The transcript has 2 exons. The record is from RefSeq and is a predicted model, not a curated record.